UACGAAGGGGGCUAGCGUUGCUCGGAAUCACUGGGCGUAAAGGGUGCGUAGGUGGAUCUUUAAGUCAGGGGUGAAAUCCUGGAGCUCAACUCCAGAACUGCCUUUGAUACUGAGGAUCUUGAGUCCGGGAGAGGUGAGUGGAACUGCGAGUGUAGAGGUGAAAUUCGUAGAUAUUCGCAAGAACACCAGUGGCGAAGGCGGCUCACUGGCCCGAUACUGACACUGAGGCACGAAAGCGUGGGGAGCAAAC
This 250-nucleotide ribosomal RNA is filed under the name uncultured prokaryote. RNAcentral describes it as "partial 16S ribosomal RNA". It matches the Rfam family "Bacterial small subunit ribosomal RNA", at positions 524 to 773 of the family's 1533-position model. The record is from RNAcentral.